GAGAGUUAAACAGUACGUGAAAUUGUUGAAAGGGAAACGAUUGAAGCCAGUCGUACCUUCGGGUAAUCAGCCUUUCGGGUGCGAUUCUGUGGAGUGUGAGGAGCUUAAACACCUUCAUGUUUUGCAUAUUCGUACUCUUGGGUGUACUUGCCCGUGUGGUUGGUUAACAUCAAUUUCGGUCGUCAUAAAAUGAUUGGAGGAAUGUAGCUUUGGUCUCGUAUCGAAGUGUUAUAGACUCUGGUAGAUGUGACGAUUGGGAUUGAGGAUUGCAACGGAUACCCUUCGGGGCUACUCGUCUGAUCUCUGAAGGUUGCUCCGGUGCCGAAAGCGUGCUUACGGUCAUCGAAAGUGAUUUUCAAAAGGUUAGAACGGGUUAAAUUCGUUAAGGAUGUUGACGUAAUGGCUUUAAACGA
Molecule: ribosomal RNA, 413 nt
Filed under: uncultured Glomeraceae
Lineage: Eukaryota; Fungi; Glomeromycota; Glomeromycetes; Glomerales; Glomeraceae
Description: partial 28S ribosomal RNA
Source: RNAcentral